Molecule: transfer RNA, 85 nt
Filed under: Erysipelotrichaceae bacterium
Lineage: Bacteria; Bacillati; Bacillota; Erysipelotrichia; Erysipelotrichales; Erysipelotrichaceae
Also listed under: 1 other name
Description: tRNA-Leu
Rfam family: tRNA
About the family: Transfer RNA (tRNA) molecules are approximately 80 nucleotides in length. Their secondary structure includes four short double-helical elements and three loops (D, anti-codon, and T loops). Further hydrogen bonds mediate the characteristic L-shaped molecular structure. tRNAs have two regions of fundamental functional importance: the anti-codon, which is responsible for specific mRNA codon recognition, and the 3' end, to which the tRNAs corresponding amino acid is attached (by aminoacyl-tRNA synthetases). tRNAs cope with the degeneracy of the genetic code in two manners: having more than one tRNA (with a specific anti-codon) for a particular amino acid; and 'wobble' base-pairing, i.e. permitting non-standard base-pairing at the 3rd anti-codon position.
Source: RNAcentral
CCCCGGAUGGCGGAAUUGGCAGACGCGCACGACUCAAAAUCGUGUGGAGCAAUCCAUGUCGGUUCGACCCCGACUCUGGGGACCA